This 459-nucleotide ribosomal RNA is filed under the name uncultured bacterium. RNAcentral's name for it is "partial 16S ribosomal RNA". It matches the Rfam family "Bacterial small subunit ribosomal RNA", at positions 338 to 795 of the family's 1533-position model. The record is from RNAcentral.
CCUACGGGAGGCUGCAGUGAGGUAUAUUGGUCAAUGGUCGGGAGACUGAACCAGCCAAGCCGCGUGAGGGAUGAAGGUACAGAGUAUCGUAAACCUCUUUUGUCAGGGAACAAAGGCGGGGACGUGUCCCCGGAUGAGUGUACCUGAAGAAAAAGCAUCGGCUAACUCCGGGCCAGCAGCCGCGGUAAGACGGGGGAUGCGAGCGUUAUCCGGAUUGAUUGGGUUGAAAGGGUGCGCAGGCGGUCUGUUAAGUCAGCGGUCAAAGCCCGGGGCUCAACCCCGGCCCGCCGUUGAAACUGGCAGUCUCGAGUGGGAGAGAAGUAUGCGGAAUGCGCGGUGUAGCGGUGAAAUGCAUAGAUAUCGCGCAGAACUCCGAUUGCGAAGGCAGCAUGCCGGCUCCACACUGACGCUGAGGCACGAAAGCGUGGGUAUCGAACAGGAUUAGAUACCCUUGUAGUC